RNAcentral lists this ribosomal RNA (846 nucleotides) under Sarea resinae. RNAcentral's name for it is "partial large subunit ribosomal RNA". It matches the Rfam family "Eukaryotic large subunit ribosomal RNA", at positions 100 to 962 of the family's 3401-position model. The record is from RNAcentral. Lineage: Eukaryota; Fungi; Ascomycota; Sareomycetes; Sareales; Zythiaceae.
GGCAACAGCUCAAAUUUGAAAUCUGGCUCUUUCAGGGUCCGAGUUGUAAUUUGUAGAGGAUGUUUCGGGUGUGGCUCCGGUCUAAGUUCCUUGGAACAGGACGUCAUAGAGGGUGAGAAUCCCGUAUGUGACUGGAAGCCUUCGUCCAUGUGAAACUCCUUCGACGAGUCGAGUUGUUUGGGAAUGCAGCUCAAAAUGGGUGGUAAAUUUCAUCUAAAGCUAAAUACUGGCCAGAGACCGAUAGCGCACAAGUAGAGUGAUCGAAAGAUGAAAAGCACUUUGGAAAGAGAGUUAAAAAGUACGUGAAAUUGUUGAAAGGGAAGCGCUUGCAACCAGACUUGCUCGCGGUUGCUCAGCCGGUGUUCUCACCGGUGCACUCUUCCGCGAUCAGGCCAGCAUCGGUUUGGGCGGCUGGAUAAAGGCUCUGGGAAUGUGGCUCCUCUCGGGGAGUGUUAUAGCCCAGGGUGCAAUGCAGCCCGCCCGGAUCGAGGACCGCGCUUCGGCUAGGAUGCUGGCGUAAUGGUUGUAAGCGACCCGUCUUGAAACACGGACCAAGGAGUCUAACAUCUAUGCGAGUGUUUGGGUGUCAAACCCAUGCGCGUAAUGAAAGUGAACGGAGGUGGGAACCCUUAAGGGUGCACCAUCGACCGAUCCUGAUGUCUUCGGAUGGAUUUGAGUAAGAGCAUAGCUGUUGGGACCCGAAAGAUGGUGAACUAUGCCUGAAUAGGGUGAAGCCAGAGGAAACUCUGGUGGAGGCUCGCAGCGGUUCUGACGUGCAAAUCGAUCGUCAAAUUUGGGUAUAGGGGCGAAAGACUAAUCGAACCCAUCUAGUAGCUGGUUCCUGCC